This 1521-nucleotide ribosomal RNA is filed under the name metagenome. RNAcentral describes it as "bacterial SSU rRNA". It matches the Rfam family "Bacterial small subunit ribosomal RNA". The record is from RNAcentral.
AGAGUUUGAUCCUGGCUCAGAACGAACGCUGGCGGCGUGGAUAAGGCAUGCAAGUCGAACGCGAAAGCCACCUUCGGGUGGUGAGUAGAGUGGCGAACGGGUGAGUAACACGUGGGCAAUCUGCCUCUAGGUGGGGGAUAACCUCGGGAAACCGGGGCUAAUACCGCGUAAUGUCGGAGGAUCGCAUGUUCUUCCGACCAAACGGUGGGGAUCUCUUCGGAGACCUGCCGCCUAGAGAGGGGCCCGCGGUCGAUUAGCUUGUUGGUAGGGUAAUGGCCUACCAAGGCAACGAUCGGUAGCCGACCUGAGAGGGUGACCGGCCACACUGGGAUUGAGAUACGGCCCAGACUCCUACGGGGGGCAGCAGUCUAGAAGCUUCGACAAUGGGGGAAACCCUGAUCGAGCGACGCCGCGUGCAGGAUGAAGGUCUUCGGAUCGUAAACUGCUUUCGCCGGAGAAGAAAGGCUCUGCGGUUAAUAUCCGCAGUGUCUGACGGUAUUUGGUAAAGAAGCCCCGGCUAAGUCCAUGCCAGCAGCCACGGUAAUACGGGCGGGGCAAGCGUUGUUCGGAUUUAUUGGGUGUAAAGGGUGCGCAGGCGGUCGACUAAGUCGAAGGUGAAAUUUCUACGGCUCAACCGAGGAACUGCCUCCGAUACUGAUCGACUUGAGUGCGGAAGGGGAGCGUGGAAUUCCUGGUGUAGCGGUGAAAUGCGUAGAUAUCAGGAGGAACACCCGUGGCGAAGGCGACGCUCUGGUCCGUAACUGACGCUCAUGCACGAAAGCCAGGGGAGCGAACGGGAUUAGAUACCCCGGUAGUCCUGGCUGUAAACGUUGGGCACUAGGUGUGGGGGGUAUCGACCCCCUCCGUGCCGUAGCUAACGCAUUAAGUGCCUCACCUGGGGAGUACGACCGCAAGGUUGAAACUCAAAGGAAUUGACGGGGGCCCGCACAAGCGGUGGAUUAUGCGGUUUAAUUCGAGGCAACGCGAAGAACCUUACCCGGGCUUGACAUCACCGAAAGGAUCUAUGGCCGCCUGAGAUGGCGGUCUUAGGAAGACAGGUGUUGCAUGGCUGUCGUCAGCUCGUGUCGUGAGAUGUUGGGUUAAGUCCCGCAACGAGCGCAACCCCUAUCGUCAGUUACCAGCGGGUAAAGCCGGGGACUCUGGCGAAACUGCCGCCGACAAGGUGGAGGAAGGUGGGGAUGACGUCAAGUCAGCAUGGCCCUUACGUCCGGGGCUACACGCGUAAUACAAUGGCUGGUACAGAGGGCUGCAAGACCGCAAGGUGGAGCGAAUCCCACAAACCCAGCCCCAGUUCAGAUUGGGGUCUGCAACUCGACCCCAUGAAGUCGGAAUCGCUAGUAAUCGUAGAUCAGCACGCUACGGUGAAUACGUUCCCGGGCCUUGUACACACCGCCCGUCACAUGACUCGAGUCGUCUGCACCCGAAGCCGGUCACCCAACCCGUAAGGGAGGGAGCUGUCCACGGUGUGGAGGGUAAGAGGGAUGAAGUCGUAACAAGGUA